Molecule: long non-coding RNA, 203 nt
Filed under: Vigna radiata
Lineage: Eukaryota; Viridiplantae; Streptophyta; Magnoliopsida; Fabales; Fabaceae
Description: long non-coding RNA (VRAD_LNC011640)
Source: RNAcentral
AUUUAAAAAGUUCCAUUUUUUUUCAUGUUUUUACCCACCUUUUCUACAUCUUUGCCAACCAUAUAUCCUUCAAUUUUUACCUUUUUUUUCCUCUAAAUUUUAUGUCAAAAUUUCUUCUUACUCUCUCUCUACCUCUCGUUUCUUUCUCUCUCUCGUUUUUUUCCUAGUCAGCUUAGAAACAACGCAUUCUUAGCAACCCACAC